Mastomys coucha (southern multimammate mouse) is the source of this 1087-nucleotide long non-coding RNA. RefSeq lists it as uncharacterized. Lineage: Eukaryota; Metazoa; Chordata; Mammalia; Rodentia; Muridae. The transcript is spliced from 3 exons. The record is from RefSeq and is a predicted model, not a curated record.
CCGACUCCAGCUCUACAGCUCUUCUGAAAGGUGUGGGUGUUCAAGAUUUUGCCAAGUGUGAGUGAGCUGAAGGCCCAGAGCUUUGGAGGGACGGCUCUGAGCAGGGAACCCUGGCUGAGUGACUGAGGCUGAUUCAGGGAAUGCUGUGGAUUUAGGUGUACAGAGCGGCAAGAUCCCUAUCAAGUACCCACCCCACAAACUACUUCUGUCCAGCAAGUAGAGUUCUCGGAGACAAUGGUAGCAGCGAUCUUUUUAAACUGCGCAAGUCCUGUCUGAUACACCUGCAGAGCUGGAAACCCAGGACCAUAUUUACAGUGAAACUAGCUGAGACGUUUUCCUCUAAACCUAGCUAUACAUGAAGAAGCUUCGACCUGAUGAUUCAACUGUAAGUGAUACCAAGUUAAACUCAGAAAUGCAGCCUUGUGGAGACCAGAUGGCAGCUCAUGGAGUUGGCAGCCACAGCAUCAACAAAAGGUCUGAAAAGCUACUAAUGAAGGUUGACAGAAAUAUAUUCUCAGCUACCUCAAGGCCAGCAGCAAGAAGAAUUUUAAAAUAACGGUCCCCCUGUCUUAGGGGCUCUCAAGUGGUUAUCCUGCACAAUCGCUAACACUUGGAAAGGACAGAACCUCAGAGCCCACAAGAAAUGACUAUAGUUAUCUAGAGCCCCAGUCCCUCAUUUUACAAACGGAAGGACCACGGUCCAGAUCCAUGGGUUUGUAUUCUACUCAAAGUAACCAGUAAUGUAUUAGAAAGAAAAAUAAGCAGUUCAUUUGGUUUAGGAGGCUGUGUGGGAGGAGGGGAAGCACAGAUGUGCUUUGAAUUUCACUUUAUAAGGAGAAAAUUGUGAAACCCUCUAACCUCAGCAGCCAACCCAGGUUACCAGCAUGCAUCAAAGGAAUGAAGCCAUCAGUCUGAGAUUCACUUACCCAAUGUCCUCUUAGUAUGGAGAGAAGUAAGGGGGUAAGAGGCCUCUCUCUGAGGUGACACCGAAGCACUGUCCUCUGGCCGUGGUCUGCCUUCCACAGGAUCACAUGGAAUUGUUCUAUAAAUGUGUACUGGCUUAAGGUUGGGAACACUAGCUUGGGAG